AGAGUCUGAUUUAUGGCUCAGAUUGAACGCUGGAUGCUUUGCUAGACAUGCAAGUCGAACGGCACGGACUUCGGUCUGGUGGCGAGUGGCGGAACGGGGCGAGGGCCGUAUCGGAACGUGCCUAGUAGCGGGGGAUAAUCAUGAAAAGCGUAGCUAAUACCGUACAUUACCUCGGGGAAAGCACCUUCGGGCCUCGCACCAUUAGAGCGCCGAUAUCGGAUUAGCUAUUAGGGGUAAUGCGUCUCAUCAAGGCGACUAAUCCGUAGCUGGUUUGAGAGGACGACCAGCCACACUGGGACUGAGACACGGCCCAGACUCGCCGGAGGCAGCAGGGGGAAUUUCUGACAAUGGGGAAACCCUGAUCCAGCCAUCCCGCGUGCGAUGAAGGCCUUCGGGUUGUAAAGACUUUGCAGGAGGGAAGAAACGGUACGGAUAAUACCCCGUGCAACUGACGGUACCCAAAAUAAGCACCGGCUAACUACGUGCCAGCAGCCGUGCGUAAUGUGUAGGGUACAGCACUGGAAUUACUGGGCGUAAAGCGUGCGCAGGCGGUUCGGAAAGAAAGAUGUGAAAUCCCAGAGCUGACCUUGGAACUGCAUUUUUAACUACCGAGCUAGAGUGUGUCAGGAGGGAGGUGAAUUCCGCGUAGCAGUGAAAUGCGUAGAUAUGCGGAGGAACACCGAUGGCGAAGGCAGCCUCCUGGGAUAACACUGACGUUCGCUAUCGAAAAAGUGGAGCAAACAGGACACACUUGGUAGUCCACGCCUCAAACGAUGUACCAACUAGCUGUUGGGGCCUGGCCUUGGUAGCGCAGCUAAUCGCGUGAAGUUGACCGCCUGGGGAGUACGGUCGCAAGAUUAAACUCAAAGGAAUUGACGGGGACCCGCACAAGCGCGGUGGAUGAUGUGGAUUAAUUCGAUGCAACGCGAAAACCUUACCUACCCUUGACAUGCCUGAAUCCCGGAAGAGAUUUUGGGAGUGCUCGCGAGAACCGGAACACAGGUGCUGCAUGGCUGUCGCUUCGCCUGUGUCGUGAGAUGCUGGUUAAGUCCCGCAACGAGCGCAACCUACGGCUGGCUAGUUGCUACGAAAGGGCACUCUAAUGAGACUGCCGGUGACAAACCGGAGGAAGGUGGUGGAGGACGUCAAGUCCUCAUGGCUCCCGCGGGUGGGCUUCACACGUCAUACAAUGGUCGGGACAGAGGUCGCCAACCCGCGAGGGGGAGCCAAUCCCAGAAACCCGAUCGUGUCCGGAUCGCAGUCUGCAACUCGACUGCGGGAAGUCGGAAUCGCUAGCAAUCGCGGAUCAGCAUGUCGCGGUGAAUACGUUCCUGGGUCUUGCACACACCGCCCGUCACACCAUGGGAGUGGUUUUACCAGAAGUAGUUAGCCUAACCGUAUGAGUGGCGAUUACCACGGUAGGAUUCAUGAUCGGGGUGAAGUCGUAACAAGGCA
This 1455-nucleotide ribosomal RNA is filed under the name uncultured Bordetella sp. RNAcentral describes it as "partial 16S-23S ribosomal RNA intergenic spacer". It matches the Rfam family "Bacterial small subunit ribosomal RNA". Lineage: Bacteria; Pseudomonadati; Pseudomonadota; Betaproteobacteria; Burkholderiales; Alcaligenaceae. The record is from RNAcentral.